CGGCGUGCCUAAUACAUGCAAGUCGAGCGGACCGACGGGAGCUUGCUCCCUUAGGUCAGCGGCGGACGGGUGAGUAACACGUGGGUAACCUGCCUGUAAGACUGGGAUAACUCCGGGAAACCGGGGCUAAUACCGGAUGCUUGAUUGAACCGCAUGGUUCAAUCAUAAAAGGUGGCUUUUAGCUACCACUUACAGAUGGACCCGCGGCGCAUUAGCUAGUUGGUGAGGUAACGGCUCACCAAGGCGACGAUGCGUAGCCGACCUGAGAGGGUGAUCGGCCACACUGGGACUGAGACACGGCCCAGACUCCUACGGGAGGCAGCAGUAGGGAAUCUUCCGCAAUGGACGAAAGUCUGACGGAGCAACGCCGCGUGAGUGAUGAAGGUUUUCGGAUCGUAAAACUCUGUUGUUAGGGAAGAACAAGUACCGUUCGAAUAGGGCGGCACCUUGACGGUACCUAACCAGAAAGCC
This 471-nucleotide ribosomal RNA is filed under the name Bacillus sp. EP_L_5. RNAcentral describes it as "bacterial SSU rRNA". It matches the Rfam family "Bacterial small subunit ribosomal RNA", at positions 40 to 492 of the family's 1533-position model. Lineage: Bacteria; Bacillati; Bacillota; Bacilli; Caryophanales; Bacillaceae. The record is from RNAcentral.